Molecule: microRNA precursor, 103 nt
Filed under: Marmota monax (woodchuck)
Lineage: Eukaryota; Metazoa; Chordata; Mammalia; Rodentia; Sciuridae
Source: RNAcentral
GGUAGAACUGCUGGAUCAUAUGAUACUUCUAUUUUUAGUUUUAAAAGCAACUUCCAUGCUGUUUUCCAAAGUGACUAUACCUAUUUACAUUUCCUCCAACAGU